This 68-nucleotide transfer RNA is filed under the name Graptomyza semicircularia. Its description in RNAcentral is "tRNA-Cys". Lineage: Eukaryota; Metazoa; Arthropoda; Insecta; Diptera; Syrphidae. The record is from RNAcentral.
AGUCUUGUAUUCAAUAUAUGAUAUUAAAUUGCAAGUUUAAAGGAAUUAAUAAAAAUUAAUUAAGACUU